This 253-nucleotide ribosomal RNA is filed under the name uncultured bacterium. RNAcentral describes it as "partial 16S ribosomal RNA". It matches the Rfam family "Bacterial small subunit ribosomal RNA", at positions 524 to 776 of the family's 1533-position model. The record is from RNAcentral.
UACAGAGGUCUCAAGCGUUGUUCGGAUUCAUUGAGCGUAAAGGGUGCGUAGGUGGCGCCGUAAGUCAGGUGUGAAAUUUCGGAGCUUAACUCCGAAACUGCAUUUGAUACUGCGGUGCUUGAGGACUGGAGAGGAGACUGGAAUUCACGGUGUAGCAGUGAAAUGCGUAGAUAUCGUGAGGAAGACCAGUGGCGAAGGCGGGUCUCUGGACAGUUCCUGACACUGAGGCACGAAGGCCAGGGGAGCAAACGGG